GCCGGUGUAGCUCAGCUGGCUAGAGCAGCUGNUUUGUAAUCAGCAGGUCGUGGGUUCGAGUCCCUCCAUCGGCUCAA
This 77-nucleotide transfer RNA is filed under the name Flavobacterium sp. RNAcentral describes it as "tRNA-Thr". It matches the Rfam family "tRNA". From Rfam's summary of the family: Transfer RNA (tRNA) molecules are approximately 80 nucleotides in length. Their secondary structure includes four short double-helical elements and three loops (D, anti-codon, and T loops). Lineage: Bacteria; Pseudomonadati; Bacteroidota; Flavobacteriia; Flavobacteriales; Flavobacteriaceae. The record is from RNAcentral.